Molecule: long non-coding RNA, 3532 nt
Organism: Sarcophilus harrisii (Tasmanian devil)
Lineage: Eukaryota; Metazoa; Chordata; Mammalia; Dasyuromorphia; Dasyuridae
Source: Ensembl
UUUGAAAAGUCAAAGUUAUCCCCGUCAAGCCUAUAUGAGGAAGGAGCCACUCUUCCUCCUCCUAAGGGAUUUCUUUCCUGCAGACAUUUCUUAAUGCCCAUGAGUGCAGCUUUGUUGCUUUCUAGAUUUGUCUGCAGAGGAGGGAUGGAGUGGGAAGGAGGAAAUGUCGGGUUCCCUUUAGCCGCUUUUCUCCCAGACUACCUCUGCCAGACAUCUUUCCAGACUGACAUUGCGAGUCAUUAGCUCAUUGUCAUGGAGAGGAGGCCUGAGAGAAACUUUGGCCACGUGUCUCAUAUAGGGGCCUGGACUUGCUUCUCUGGCCUCUGCCGUGUGACCUCAGCUAGGCUCUCUGACAUUCUGGAGCUCCCUGUAUUAUCAGAAUUGUUAUAAUUAUUGGAUACAAAGUGACUUGUACUGAACUGUUAGGGAAAGGAGAGUCUAUAUAAUCUGGGACAGCUGCAGUUUGGGGCAUUAUCAGUGUUCACGCACAGACAUUCAUACCUUGGAUCAAAACCUCAGACCUCCAGUUAGUUAUGGGGCUUUUUAGGGAGGGCUAGCUGCCCUUCCUCCUGGGAUAAGACCCUUCUGCAGCCAGAGUUCCAGUCCAGUUCUCACUGGUCCUCCCAGGAAUCUGCCUGGGCAAAGCUAGUAAAUAAUGCCGGGAAGGGGGUACAGAGAAUCGCAGGGGCGCCCUCAUUGAAGACCACUACUGGAGUCUGCUGGAAGGUCACUGGCAAGUGGGGCAUUUGCUCUACAUUGAUGAUGGCUCCUAUCUGGUACCGUUACUUUGUCUUUAAACAGUAUUUAAGAUCCCCACAAAGGCUGAGGGAGGUGAGAAUGAUAGAGAUCAUCCUUUUAUUCCCACAGAUAAUCUACAUCUGGUCUGGCUUCAGCUUAAUCUUGAAAUGUUGCCAUUGCUCUGUGCCGAGGUCAGUUGUAAAGGGUUUAGAACCUGGAGGGUGAGGAUGGAGCAAGGACUUCUUAUUCCUGGAAUCCUUUAAAUCCUCAAGUGUACAUGCUUUAUUUUAUAUUAUUAUUAUUAUUAUUUAUUAUCAUGUAAAUACAUCCUUCCUGUUUUCUUCCAGUCUUAAGGUGGAGAAAUCCUUAUCUGAUUUCUACCAGAUAGGCUCUGUUUUUAGAAUAGGAUUUUGCCCUCAUCAGCUGGUCCUAAGGAUCUUUCUCUCCCCUUUCUUCUAGGAGCAGAGGUUGAGGGAUGUAGACUCGACCUUGGACCUUGCCUUCUUAGAUCUCAGUAGCGAUUAGUAGGCAUCUUUUGAUGAAGUGAGGAAAUUUUGUCUUCCACUGGCCGCUAAAGAGAUAAUUCCUAGAUUUCUUCCCCUUGCUGCAGAAGAUAGCAAUGGUUCAGGGUACUAGAAAGAACCAAAUGUUGUGCUUUCCCUCUCCUUCAGGGAGCUGCUCUUAGGUUUGUCUCAGAGACUCCAAACUUAGAGAACCUCAACAUCUUUGGAGUUGCUUUCAGAGUUUAGGGAGAGGGUGAUUUGAGACUCCGGGGAAGAAGCUCUGACAUUGCAAAAGUGACUAAGCCUGGAAUAAUUUGGGAGUUGAAAGGCUGGUGGGGGAAAUGACCAAGAGAAAUACAAUGGAAAUGGGAAUGGAGGAGAAAAAAUUGUUUUAUUCAAAUGAUAAACAAGCUUAGGCCCUGGGGAUACAAACAGUUGUAAAAAUGGCACAUCAGGCAAUCUUAUCCCUUUAUUUCCUCUGCCAAGUGCCAGGCACCCAAACCUAAAUUGUUUCCAUUUUCCCAUCUCAGAUUGCAGAAUUUGUCUGGACCAUGGAAGCUGCCUUGCCCCAUCUGGGAUCUUAAAAUGCCUUUUUCUUUGAUUUUGAGGUAUCCAUUUCCCCAAACAGUGACCAUUCCCUUGUCAGCUCAGGGUGGCCAGUGGAGGCUGCCUUGGCCUUUUAGAGAGGAUCUCUCUUAGGGUCUGAUUUUCAUACUCUGAUCUUUGUUCAUUGUAUCAUAUGUACAUUAUGUGCUUUUCUGAGAUGGAGGCUUCUGAAUCCAGUAUUUGGGACUGUAUGCAUAAACUUGCGUAAGCACAAUGAUGGUGAUGAUGAUGUGUAUACAUUUCAUAAGCUGAUUGUCAUAAUGAAUGCAUUUUAUAAUUCAAAUGAUGUUGUAGAUUUACAAUCUCUCCUAUUUAUUUUGUACUGAUUUAUUUGUAUAUUUUGUGAUUUGUUUAAAAAGGGUUUUAUUCUUUUUAGAUAAAAAUGGUGAUUUUUCUGUUCAAUUUUCCAGUGGCUAUGUGUUGUUGCCUGUUCCACAGGAUGCUAAAACCAUGUAUUUUUCAUCCCAGCUCCUCUCCUUGUUCUGCUCAGCUAUGGACAAAAACAAAACAAAACAAAAAUGCUUUCCUGACAGCCAGUCAGCUGGGCAGUUUCCUGACUUGAGCCUCCAACUCCAAACUUCCCUUCUCUUAGUAAGGUCAGAGACCCCAUCCUCCUCUCUUGCCCCCAGCCCCAACCUGCUGAUCAGGACGUGUGAUUCUGCUCGAGCUUCUCAGAGUUUUGAAGAACCCCUAGCCCUGUAGGGCCGCUCAUGGCCCAAGCCAAGCUUCUGACUGCUUGACAGCCACAGACCAAUUUCAGGCCCUGUGCUCAAACCGGGCCAGGCUCCCUGGACUGCCCCCCCUCAGAACCAUCCACAGAAGAAGGUUGGAGAGAGGAAUGGAUCCCGAGGCUCACUUACUGAACUACAAGCAGGGCAGAGCAGGGAGGCUACAGAUGAUUAGGGAAAUCAGAAUAGGAAGUGGCUCCCCAAGGUGUCAGCCCUAGUCUUCAUGGUCCAGCCUGUCUCCCGCUGGAGGGCCCUAUCUCCUUGUUCCAUCUCUCCCUUUCCUUCCUUAAGCUGCCUGCUUACCCACUCUCUGCUCUCAGCUCUGAAGCCUGCAGAAGGUGGUCUUAUGUGCCCAGAGCCCCCUAAACCUGCCUGAGGAGCCUGCCUUCCCAGCAUUCUCCCGUCUGUCUCUUUCCCUCUGGGUUUUAAAUAACAUUGUCCCUCAGAAUCCAGUUUCUUCCCCUCGGCCCUUUCUUUUCCCAACUGUCCCAUUGGCCCCUCUGCAGUCUGCUCCAUUGGACUUCCGUUUGUCCUGUGGUUAGAGACCACUUCUUCAGGAGAGCCAGUGGCCUUGCCUCCAUCUGCCCUCCCCCCCUCCCCCCCCCCCUCUGGCCGGUGCUUUCCCAGUCACUUAUUUUGUCUGGUUCCAAGAUCGACUCAGGAAAAUGUGUCAAGGGAAGUGAAGGAAAUGAUUUCUUAACUGUGAGGACAACUCUUCAGAUGCCUGUGAUGUCCUCUGCAUCCAGGGGUGCCCAUGGUUGCCAAUUCCUUUCUAAGCUUUAUCAUGUGCUUUUGGGGAAGGGGAAAGGAAAGGUGGGUUCAGUCGACCUGUUGCCCUCCCAGCACAUCUUUUCAUCUCAGCACAUCUAAUGAUGGAACCCAAAUCAAUCAAAAGAUUCUUUGGCAAAAGUGAUUGGAGCAAAAAGAUUGACUAGAGUUGGUUUCUGGAAAUUGUCC